UGUGUGUAAGCUGUCUGGUGGGCCAUGUAGCCUGAUGUGCUGGACCCAGUGUGUACACUUCUCUCUCUCGUCUAGUUCAUAAGCUCUGCCUCACUCUGAUUGGCUGCUGCUCUGUGUUGUUUUUCUUUCAGGCCACAAAAAACAUCACAGCUGAGUCUGGAAAGAACGUCACUCUGACAUGUCGAGCUCCAAAUAACAACAUAGUAGUAGAGUGGAGCAGAGCUGACCUGCAGCCAGAAUAUGUUCUUUUGUACCGAGACAAGCAGUUUAUUCGAGAUCACCAGCAUCCAUCUUUUAAGAACCGGGUGGAUCUGCAGGACAAACAGAUGAAGGAUGGAGACGUGUCUUUGAUUUUGAAGGACGUGAUGAUUAAUGACACUGGAACAUACGAGUGUCGUGUCUUUGUGAGAGAAACACGCUUGUGGAAAUCCAUCAGCAUCAUCUACCUUCAUGUUGUUGAUCCUCCAGGUCAGCCAGGAGGACACACAGAGGAUGGAGAGGAGGAAGAUGGAGUUGGUAGAAGUCAUCAUGGUCGACUGAUGGCUUCUGUUUUAUUACUUGCUGUGAUCAUUCUUGUUUUUGCAGUUGUGAUCUCUAAAAAAACACAAGAAAGAUCCUCCUCUUCAUCCUCCUGAUGAAGAAGCAAAGAAGGAAAUGGUCUGAAGCAAAGCACCAUGGAACGAGAGAGAGAGAGAGAGAGA
Long non-coding RNA from Haplochromis burtoni (Burton's mouthbrooder), 701 nucleotides. RefSeq lists it as uncharacterized. NCBI's taxonomy places the organism in Eukaryota, Metazoa, Chordata, Actinopteri, Cichliformes, Cichlidae. The record is from RefSeq and is a predicted model, not a curated record. The transcript has 2 exons.